CGGGGCGUAGCUUAGCUUGGUAGAGCGCCUGGUUUGGGACCAGGAGGUCGCAGGUUCGAAUCCUGUCGCCCCGA
RNAcentral lists this transfer RNA (74 nucleotides) under Verrucomicrobiota bacterium. Its description in RNAcentral is "Verrucomicrobia bacterium tRNA-Pro". It matches the Rfam family "tRNA". From Rfam's summary of the family: Transfer RNA (tRNA) molecules are approximately 80 nucleotides in length. RNAcentral also lists the same sequence under 3 other names. The record is from RNAcentral. Lineage: Bacteria; Pseudomonadati; Verrucomicrobiota.